GCAUAACGCGAAGAACCUUACCAGGCCUCGACAUCCCUGGAACCCCCGAGAGAUCGGGGGGUGCCCUUCGGGGAACCAGGAGACAGGUGCUGCAUGGCUGUCGUCAGCUCGUGUCGUGAGAUGUUCGGUUAAGUCCGGCAACGAGCGCAACCCUCGCCAUUAGUUGCCAUCAGUUCGGCUGGGCACUCUAAUGGGACUGCCCGUGAAAGCGGGAGGAAGGCGGGGAUGAUGUCUAGUUAGCAUGGUCCUUACGGCCUGGGCGACACACGUGCUACAAUGGCCGGUACAACGCGUCGCCACCUCGCGAGAGGGAGCUAAUCGCUAAAGCCGGUCCCAGUUCAGAUCGCAGUCUGCAACUCGACUGCGUGAAGUCGGAAUCGCUAGUAAUCGCGGAUCAGCCAUGCCGCGGUGAAUACGUUCCCGGGUCUUGUACACACCG
This 439-nucleotide ribosomal RNA is filed under the name uncultured bacterium. RNAcentral describes it as "bacterial SSU rRNA". It matches the Rfam family "Bacterial small subunit ribosomal RNA", at positions 954 to 1392 of the family's 1533-position model. The record is from RNAcentral.